GCUGCCAGGGUCAAAAGGUCAUGGACCGAUCAUGCUUGCAUGAAUCGGGACAUGAUGUUUUGACCCGCCCGAACAUGAGCAACCAGCGAUUUUCCUGAUAAGAUCAGGAAAAUCAGCGGAUUGCGAAUGGUCGGAGGAUUGUGGCAU
Molecule: small RNA, 147 nt
Filed under: uncultured Eubacterium sp.
Lineage: Bacteria; Bacillati; Bacillota; Clostridia; Eubacteriales; Eubacteriaceae
Description: Clostridiales-1 RNA
Rfam family: Clostridiales-1 RNA
Source: RNAcentral